RNAcentral lists this small RNA (825 nucleotides) under Mycoplasmopsis arginini. RNAcentral describes it as "bacterial LSU rRNA". The stretch from base 326 to 825 matches the Rfam family "Bacterial large subunit ribosomal RNA", at positions 1 to 497 of the family's 2925-position model. The record is from RNAcentral. Lineage: Bacteria; Bacillati; Mycoplasmatota; Mycoplasmoidales; Metamycoplasmataceae.
CCGCCCGUCGCACCAUGGGAGCUGGUAAUACCCAAAGUCGGUUAGCUAACCUCGGAGGCGACCGCCUAAGGUAGGACUGGUGACUGGGGUGAAGUCGUAACAAGGUAUCCCUACGAGAACGUGGGGAUGGAUCACCUCCUUUCAUACGGAGUACAUAAAUGUUAUGGAAAAAUUAUUUGUGUCCAGUUUUGAGAGACCUAUCUCUCAAUUUGUUCUUUGAAAACUGAAUAUCGACAUUGAAAAAUUAAAUCUAUUAAUAUUUCAAAGUUUAGAUCAACCUAUAGAAUAUAUCAUACAAUAGACAAACAAUAGGUCUUAUACUACUAUUAAACAAGAUAAGAGUUUUUGGUGGAUGCCUUGGGUCUGGAAGUCGAUGAAGGACGUGAUUACCUGCGAUAAGCCUCGGUUAGCUGGAAAUGAGCUGUGAUCCGGGGAUUUCCGAAUGGGGAAACCUAAUUGAGCUAAUCCUCAAUUAUCAUAUCGAUGAAUACAUAGUCGAAUGAAGAGACACGCUGUGAAUUGAAACAUCUCAGUAGCAGCAGGAAGAGAAAAUAAAGAAUGAUUCCCUCAGUAGUGGCGAGCGAACGGGGAAGAGCCCAAACCAACAUUCGUUGUUGGGGUUAUAGGACUACAUUUUAGAGUUACAAAAUUUACAUAUAGCAGAAUAAGUUGGAAUGCUUAAACAUAGAGGGUGAAAUUCCCGUAAGCGAAAUGUGUAGAUCUCUUUGUAGUAUCCUGAGUAGGGCGGGGCACGUGAAACCCUGUCUGAAUUUGCCGGGACCACCCGGUAAGGCUAAAUACUAACCAGACACCGAUAGUGAACUA